CUAGGUACACCACAUGUAUAUCUGGUUGGUUCAUUUGUUAUGCUUUUCAAAAUUUUCACGACUUCUUUGAUAUAGUUUUUAAAUUAAUAUUAUACUAAAAUGCAUAAAAUGGAUAUAUUUUCACUUUAAAUAGAACAGCCACAUGAUUUUCUAUUUGAAAACUAUGCAUAGCUAGUCUUGAACAUUUAGAAUCCCAAAACAUAUAAAUUAUUUUUGGUCUAUUAGUUAUUAAUUUUUGAACUUUUGUUAAAACAAAAUCUCCAAAUAUACAAAAUAUAGGAUUUUUUUUCUCAAAAAUAUAUUAGAAUGAUUAAAAAUAAUGAUGAUAUGUUUUGUAUUUAUAAUUUAAAAGAAGAUAAAAACGUAGAAACUAAUAGUGUCCUAGCCCUUUUUCAAAAAAAAAAAAAACUAAUAGUGUCCGGAAUCAAUAGUUCGUGGAUAAUCUAUACCUUUACUUUAAUAUGUCAAAUCUUGUAUGUUUUUUUUUCUCGACAAACAAACCCUUUCGGCGUUAAAUACCUAAAAUAACUAUUUAAGUAAGAAAUUAAUAUUUAGCCAAAAGAAAGUUAAAAAAUAUUUAAUGAUGUAAUUUCAUAUGUAUUGGUAAUUAAUUGUUCAUUUAAUGUGAACCCAACGUACGAUUCUUACAGAAUCACAAAAAAAAAAAUCUUGACUUCACAAUUUAAUACAUACUUAUCAAAUAGGAAAUCAUUUAUCUCCACAUAAUAGACAAAAAAUCAUUUUUCACCACCAAUUCCCAGUAUCCUAUAAUCCUUGUGUCUAUCAUCGGUCACUAUCAUGACUUAACCAACAUGUUAUACUCGUUUGUAUUGGCAAACUUAAAUCAUCAGUGCUGACGCAACAACUUAUUUGCUGGCAUCCCUUCUUACGUAUGUACUAAAAACAAAUGUUGUCAAAGACUAAAUUUAGGUUCCUG
RNAcentral lists this long non-coding RNA (937 nucleotides) under Brassica rapa (field mustard). RNAcentral's name for it is "long non-coding RNA (BRAP_LNC000956)". The record is from RNAcentral. Lineage: Eukaryota; Viridiplantae; Streptophyta; Magnoliopsida; Brassicales; Brassicaceae.